RNAcentral lists this ribosomal RNA (552 nucleotides) under uncultured Acaulospora. RNAcentral describes it as "SSU rRNA". It matches the Rfam family "Eukaryotic small subunit ribosomal RNA", at positions 548 to 1098 of the family's 1831-position model. The record is from RNAcentral. Lineage: Eukaryota; Fungi; Glomeromycota; Glomeromycetes; Diversisporales; Acaulosporaceae.
UUGGAGGGCAAGUCUGGUGCCAGCAGCCGCGGUAAUUCCAGCUCCAAUAGCGUAUAUUAAAGUUGUUGCAGUUAAAAAGCUCGUAGUUGAAUUUCGGGGUUCAUCCGUUGGUCGGGCUUUUUUGGUCUGUACUGGCGUGAUGGAUUCCUACCUUCUGAAUAACCGGCAUGUCAUUAAUUUGGUGCGCCGGGGAAGCAGAACUGUUACCUUGAAAAAAUUAGAGUGCUUAAAGCAGGCUAUCGCCUGAAUACAUUAGCAUGGAAUAAUGAAAUAGGACGGCAUGGUUCUAUUUUGUUGGUUUCUAGGAUCACCGUAAUGAUUAAUAGGGAUAGUUGGGGGCAUUAGUAUUCAAUUGUCAGAGGUGAAAUUCUUGGAUUUAUUGAAGACUAACUUCUGCGAAAGCAUUUGCCAAGGAUGUUUUCAUUAAUCAAGAACGAAAGUUAGGGGAUCGAAGACGAUCAGAUACCGUCGUAGUCUUAACCAUAAACUAUGCCGACUAGGGAUCGGACGAUGUUAAUUUUUUAAUGACUCGUUCGGCGCCUUACGGGAAAC